AUUGAACGCUGGCGGCAUGCCUUACACAUGCAAGUCGAACGGUAACAGGGAGCUUGCUCCGCUGACGAGUGGCGAACGGGUGAGUAAAGUAUCGGAACGUACCUUUCAGUGGGGGAUAACGCAGCGAAAGUUACGCUAAUACCGCAUAUUCUGUGAGCAGGAAAGCAGGGGAUCGCAAGACCUUGCGCUGAUUGAGCGGCCGAUAUCAGAUUAGCUAGUUGGUGAGGUAAAGGCUCACCAAGCCAACGAUCUGUAGCUGGUCUGAGAGGACGACCAGCCACACUGGAACUGAGACACGGUCCAGACUCCUACGGGAGGCAGCAGUGGGGAAUUUUGGACAAUGGACGCAAGUCUGAUCCAGCCAUUCCGCGUGCAGGAUGAAGGCCCUCGGGUUGUAAACUGCUUUUGUACGGAACGAAAAGGUUUCUAUUAAUACUAGGAGCUCAUGACGGUACCGUAAGAAUAAGCACCGGCUAACUACGUG
This 484-nucleotide ribosomal RNA is filed under the name uncultured bacterium. RNAcentral's name for it is "bacterial SSU rRNA". It matches the Rfam family "Bacterial small subunit ribosomal RNA", at positions 30 to 507 of the family's 1533-position model. The record is from RNAcentral.